GCCGGUGUAGUUCAAUGGUAGAACUCCUGCUUCCCAAGCAGGUGGCGCGGGUUCGAUUCCCGUCACCGGCUC
Molecule: transfer RNA, 72 nt
Filed under: Corynebacterium glutamicum
Lineage: Bacteria; Bacillati; Actinomycetota; Actinomycetes; Mycobacteriales; Corynebacteriaceae
Description: tRNA-Gly
Rfam family: tRNA
About the family: Transfer RNA (tRNA) molecules are approximately 80 nucleotides in length. Their secondary structure includes four short double-helical elements and three loops (D, anti-codon, and T loops).
Source: RNAcentral